This is an unclassified non-coding RNA of Microcebus murinus (gray mouse lemur), 96 nucleotides long. It matches the Rfam family "Y RNA". From Rfam's summary of the family: Y RNAs are components of the Ro ribonucleoprotein particle (Ro RNP), in association with Ro60 and La proteins. Lineage: Eukaryota; Metazoa; Chordata; Mammalia; Primates; Cheirogaleidae. The record is from Ensembl.
GGCUGGUCCGAUGGUAGUGGGUUAUCAGAACGUAUUAACAUUAGUGUCACUAAAGUUGAUAUUCAAUCCCCUACUGCUAAAUUUGACUAGUUAAAA